GAGGAUAUAGCUCCGUGGUAGAGCGUGUGCUUAGUGUGCAGGAGGUUCUGGGUUCAAUCCCCAGUCCUCC
Molecule: transfer RNA, 70 nt
Filed under: Camelus dromedarius (Arabian camel)
Lineage: Eukaryota; Metazoa; Chordata; Mammalia; Artiodactyla; Camelidae
Also listed under: 1 other name
Rfam family: tRNA
About the family: Transfer RNA (tRNA) molecules are approximately 80 nucleotides in length. Their secondary structure includes four short double-helical elements and three loops (D, anti-codon, and T loops).
Source: Rfam by way of RNAcentral